Molecule: unclassified non-coding RNA, 390 nt
Filed under: soil metagenome
Description: partial contains 5.8S ribosomal RNA, internal transcribed spacer 2, and large subunit ribosomal RNA
Rfam family: 5.8S ribosomal RNA (bases 1-122)
Source: RNAcentral
GAUGAAGAACGUAGCGAAAUGCGAUACUUGGUGUGAAUUGCAGAAUCCCGUGAACCAUCGAGUCUUUGAACGCAAGUUGCGCCCGAAGCCAUCAGGUUGAGGGCACGUCUGCCUGGGCGUCACAUAUCGUUGCCCAAUGCCUAUUGCAGUGCAAUAGGAAUUUCUAGGGCGAAUGAUGGCUUCCCGUGAGCGUUGUUGCCUCGCGGUUGGUUGAAAAUCGAGUCCUUGGUAGGGUGUGCCAUGGUAGAUGGUGGUCGAGUUAGAACGAUACCGAUCAUGUGCAUGCUCCCCAAAAUAUGGCCUCUAUGACCCACACGCGUCUUUUGACGCUCAUGACGAGACCUCAGGUCAGGCGGGGCUACCCGCUGAAUUUAAGCAUAUCACGGAGGA